This 765-nucleotide ribosomal RNA is filed under the name Triticum aestivum (bread wheat). RNAcentral's name for it is "partial small subunit ribosomal RNA". Lineage: Eukaryota; Viridiplantae; Streptophyta; Magnoliopsida; Poales; Poaceae. The record is from RNAcentral.
AUGGCCGCCAAGUGCUACCCGACGGUCAGCGACGAGUACCUCGCGGCCGUCGCCAAGGCCAGGCGCAAGCUCCGCGGCCUCAUCGCCGAGAAGAACUGCGCGCCCCUCAUGCUCCGCCUCGCGUGGCACUCGGCCGGGACCUUCGACGUGGCCACCAAGACCGGCGGCCCCUUCGGCACCAUGAAGUGCCCCGCGGAGCUCGCGCACGGCGCCAACGCCGGCCUCGACAUCGCCGUCAGGCUGCUCGAGCCCAUCAAGGAGCAGUUCCCCAUCCUCUCCUACGCCGACUUCUACCAGCUCGCUGGAGUCGUCGCCGUCGAGGUCACCGGCGGGCCUGAGGUUCCCUUCCACCCGGGGAGACAGGACAAGCCCGAGCCUCCUCCAGAAGGCCGUCUUCCUGAUGCCACCCAAGGCUCUGACCACCUCAGGCAGGUGUUUUCCACUCAGAUGGGUUUGAGUGACCAGGACAUUGUUGCUCUUUCUGGUGGUCACACCCUGGGAAGAUGCCACAAGGAGAGAUCCGGCUUUGAGGGAGCAUGGACCGCCAAUCCUUUGAUCUUCGACAACUCUUACUUCACUGAGCUCCUGAGUGGAGAGAAGGAAGGCCUUCUUCAGUUGCCGACCGACAAGACCCUCCUGACCGACCCGGCCUUCCGCCCACUUGUGGACAAAUAUGCUGCGGAUGAGGAUGCGUUCUUUGCUGACUACGCUGAGGCACACCUCAAGCUCUCCGAAUUGGGAUUUGGCGAGGCGGGCUGCUGCUGA